This 493-nucleotide ribosomal RNA is filed under the name uncultured bacterium. RNAcentral's name for it is "partial 16S ribosomal RNA". It matches the Rfam family "Bacterial small subunit ribosomal RNA", at positions 29 to 523 of the family's 1533-position model. The record is from RNAcentral.
AUUGAACGCUGGCGGCAUGCUUUACACAUGCAAGUCGAACGGUAACAGGUUAAGCUGACGAGUGGCGAACGGGUGAGUAAUGCAUCGGAACGUUCCCGGUCGUGGGGGAUAACGCAGCGAAAGCUGCGCUAAUACCGCAUACGAUCUGAGGAUGAAAGCGGGGGACCGUAAGGCCUCGCGCGAUCGGAGCGGCCGAUGUCAGAUUAGGUAGUUGGUGGGGUAAAGGCUCACCAAGCCAACGAGCUGUAGCUGGUCUGAGAGGACGACCAGCCACGCUGGGACGGGGACGCGGCACAGACUCCUACCGGAGGCAGUAGUGGGGAAUUUGGGACAAUGGGAGAAAGCCAGUUCCAGCAAUGCCGCGUGCAGGCAGAAGGCCUUCGGGUUGUAAACUGCUUUUGUACGGGGCGAAAGGGUCUCCUCUAAGACAGGGGGCUUAUGACGGUACCGUAAGAAUAGGCACCGGCUAAGUACGUGCCAGCAGCCGCGGUAA